Molecule: long non-coding RNA, 194 nt
Organism: Lingula anatina
Lineage: Eukaryota; Metazoa; Brachiopoda; Lingulata; Lingulida; Lingulidae
Source: RefSeq, a predicted model, not a curated record
CAAUAAACAGCAGCAGCUGGUGUUAGAAGUAAGAGGCAGAAAACAGAGGCUUUCUGGCCAAACAAGACUAUAUACAGUGGCAAGAUUAUUUGAACCUUCAAGUGUCUGUCGGUUCAGCCAAGGUCAUUUGUGACUCGUCAAUACUGCUCUUAGUGGUGAACUGAAGAGGUUGACCCUCCCAUACAGCAGGUACU